UGAUAAGCACUAAUGUCAGCAGUGGU
This 26-nucleotide non-coding RNA is filed under the name Rattus norvegicus (Norway rat). The record is from RNAcentral. Lineage: Eukaryota; Metazoa; Chordata; Mammalia; Rodentia; Muridae.